CACUGGCAGCUCAAGUGGUGGCCGUUUUUAUUGGGCCCUAAAGCGUUCGUAGCCGGUUUGAUAAGUCUCUGGUGAAAUCCUACAGCUUAACUGUGGGAAUUGCUGGAGAUACUAUCAGACUUGAGGUCGGGAGAGGUUAGAGGAACUCCCAGGGUAGGGGUGAAAUCCUAUAAUCCUGGGAGGACCACCUGUGGCGAAGGCGUCUAACUGGAACGAACCUGACGGUGAGUAACGAAAGCCAGGGGCGCGAACCGGAUUAGAUACCCCGGUAGUCCCUGAGCGGGCUGGCAA
This 291-nucleotide ribosomal RNA is filed under the name uncultured prokaryote. RNAcentral describes it as "partial 16S ribosomal RNA". It matches the Rfam family "Archaeal small subunit ribosomal RNA", at positions 474 to 769 of the family's 1478-position model. The record is from RNAcentral.